RNAcentral lists this transfer RNA (82 nucleotides) under Marsupiomonas sp. NIES 1824. RNAcentral describes it as "tRNA-Tyr". It matches the Rfam family "tRNA". From Rfam's summary of the family: Transfer RNA (tRNA) molecules are approximately 80 nucleotides in length. Their secondary structure includes four short double-helical elements and three loops (D, anti-codon, and T loops). Further hydrogen bonds mediate the characteristic L-shaped molecular structure. tRNAs have two regions of fundamental functional importance: the anti-codon, which is responsible for specific mRNA codon recognition, and the 3' end, to which the tRNAs corresponding amino acid is attached (by aminoacyl-tRNA synthetases). tRNAs cope with the degeneracy of the genetic code in two manners: having more than one tRNA (with a specific anti-codon) for a particular amino acid; and 'wobble' base-pairing, i.e. permitting non-standard base-pairing at the 3rd anti-codon position. Lineage: Eukaryota; Viridiplantae; Chlorophyta; Pedinophyceae; Marsupiomonadales; Marsupiomonadaceae. The record is from RNAcentral.
GGGUCGGUGCUCGAGUGGUUAAUGAGGUCGGUUUGUAAAACCGAUGGCUAUGCCUACACUGGUUCAAAUCCAGUCCGGCCCA